AGAGUGGAAUGCAGCCAAGGAUGACUUGCCGGCAUUGGCCUAAGAGGAACAAAUGCAUACCGACAUACGCACAGACAUGCGUACGUACGUAUGUAUAGACAUAUGUAUUGUAUAACUCCAUUGCAUUUGACGGCGAGUUUGUCCUUGGCUACGUAUCACUCUCU
This is a microRNA precursor of Ananas comosus (pineapple), 164 nucleotides long. The record is from Rfam. Lineage: Eukaryota; Viridiplantae; Streptophyta; Magnoliopsida; Poales; Bromeliaceae.